UGCCUACGGGGGGCAGCAGUGGGGAAUAUUGGACAAUGGGGGGAACCCUGAUCCAGCGACGCCGCGUGAGUGAAGAAGUAUUUCGGUAUGUAAAGCUCUAUCAGCAGGGAAGAAAGAAAUGACGGUACCUGACUAAGAAGCCCCGGCUAACUACGUGCCAGCAGCCGCGGUAAUACGUAGGGGGCAAGCGUUAUCCGGAUUUACUGGGUGUAAAGGGAGCGUAGACGGCAAUGCAAGUCUGGAGUGAAAGGCCGGGGCUCAACCCCGGGACUGCAUUUGGAACUGUGUGGC
Molecule: ribosomal RNA, 291 nt
Filed under: uncultured bacterium
Lineage: Bacteria
Description: partial 16S ribosomal RNA
Rfam family: Bacterial small subunit ribosomal RNA
Source: RNAcentral